Molecule: long non-coding RNA, 592 nt
Filed under: Homo sapiens (human)
Lineage: Eukaryota; Metazoa; Chordata; Mammalia; Primates; Hominidae
Description: HSALNT0342339
Source: RNAcentral
UGAAGGCCUCCCAGGAAGGGAUCAGCUAUAAAAAGGACCCCAGAGAACUUUGCCUUGAAGAAGAGCAGUGCCUGUCCCAGGGUAGAGGCAGGCCUGACUGCCCACAACAGCAGGAACAGAAGGGCCCGGUGCCAGCAUAGACAGGCUCUGCUGUGAGACACAGGUGCUCCCAGGAUCCUCCUACAGUGCCACCUCUGGAAAUCCCUGUUCUCUGAUCAAACAGAGACCACUGAGGGGGUGAAAAGGAGACAGACAGAGAGCUGCUGCUUUUUACAAUAAACUCUGUAUUGUGCACAUGAAGACCUGGAGAUGUGCCGACUUCCUGUCCCCAAAGCCAAUCUUCCCCGCCAAGGCGACUGAGGAUUUCAAGGGCUCAGAGUUACUGCAGGAAUCCAGGUGAGGAAACUGAGGCUCGUUACUGACUUGCCCAAGAUUCCACAGUGGAAGAGCCUGGACGUGAACUGCGUCUCCAGGUCUCGAACCAUUUCCUGUCCUGGUCCCAGGACCUAGGUGGGGCCGCCGCGCGGUCAGACAGAGCCGGCCCGCCUGGGACCCCUUGGCUGCCCUCGCCCCCCGGCCCCGCCCCCCGCAC